This 29-nucleotide non-coding RNA is filed under the name Rattus norvegicus (Norway rat). Lineage: Eukaryota; Metazoa; Chordata; Mammalia; Rodentia; Muridae. The record is from RNAcentral.
UAAGUGCCGUCAGUGAGGGUAGGGAAUGG